This 445-nucleotide ribosomal RNA is filed under the name uncultured bacterium. RNAcentral's name for it is "partial 16S ribosomal RNA". It matches the Rfam family "Bacterial small subunit ribosomal RNA", at positions 354 to 796 of the family's 1533-position model. The record is from RNAcentral.
GUAGGGAAUAUUGGGCAAUGGAUGCAAGUCUGACCCAGCCAUCCCGCGUGCCGGAAGAAGGCCCUCAGGGUUGUAAACGGCUUUUGACGGUGAAGAAUCGACAGGAUGCGUCCUGUUUUGACGGUAGCCGUUGAAUAAGCACCGGCUAACUCCGUGCCAGCAGCCGCGGUAAUCCGGAGGGUGCGAGCGUUGUCCGGUUUUAUUGGGUUUAAAGGGUGCGUAGGCUGGAGUGUCAGUCAGCGGUGAAAAGCUGUCGCUUAACGAUGGUCUUGCCGCAGAUACUUCCUUUCUUGGAUGAGGGGGAGGCCACUGGAACGGAUGGUGUAGCGGUGAAAUGCAUAGAUAUCAUCCAGAACACCGAUUGCGAAGGCAGGUGGCUGUACCUUAAUCGACGCUGAUGCACGAAAGCAUGGGGAGCAAACAGGAUUAGAUACCCUAGUAGUCC